This 486-nucleotide ribosomal RNA is filed under the name uncultured bacterium. Its description in RNAcentral is "partial 16S ribosomal RNA". It matches the Rfam family "Bacterial small subunit ribosomal RNA", at positions 28 to 507 of the family's 1533-position model. The record is from RNAcentral.
GACGAACGCUGGCGGCGUGCUUAACACAUGCGAGUCGAACGCUGAAGACCUGGCUUUUGUUGGGUUGGAUGAGUGGCGAACGGGUGAGUAACACGUGAGUAACCUGCCCUCUUCUUUGGGAUAACGCCCGGAAACGGGUGCUAAUACUGGAUAUUCACUGAUCUUCGCAUGGGGGUUGGUGGAAAGGUUUGUUCUGGUGGGGGAUGGGCUCGCGGCCUAUCAGCUUGUUGGUGGGGUGAUGGCCUACCAAGGCUUUGACGGGUAGCCGGCCUGAGAGGGUGACCGGUCACAUUGGGACUGAGAUACGGCCCAGACUCCUACGGGAGGCAGCAGUGGGGAAUAUUGCACAAUGGGCGAAAGCCUGAUGCAGCGACGCCGCGUGAGGGAUGGAGGCCUUCGGGUUGUAAACCCCUUUCGCUCAUGGUCAAGCCGCAACUGUGGGUUGUGGUGAGGGUAGUGGGUAAAGAAGCGCCGGCUAACUACGUG